RNAcentral lists this ribosomal RNA (257 nucleotides) under uncultured bacterium. RNAcentral describes it as "partial small subunit ribosomal RNA". It matches the Rfam family "Bacterial small subunit ribosomal RNA", at positions 26 to 288 of the family's 1533-position model. The record is from RNAcentral.
AGGACGAACGCUGGCGGCGUGCUUAACACAUGCAAGUCGAGCGGUAAGGCCCUUUGGGGUACACGAGCGGCGAACGGGUGAGUAACACGUGAGUAACCUGCCCUGGACUUUGGGAUAACCCUCGGAAACGGGGGCUAAUACCGAAUACGACUUGGCCUCGCAUGGGGUUUGGUGGAAAGUUUUUCGGUCUGGGAUGGACUCGCGGCCUAUCAGCUUGUUGGUGGGGUAAUGGCCUACCAAGGCGACGACGGGUAGCC